Molecule: ribosomal RNA, 550 nt
Filed under: uncultured bacterium
Lineage: Bacteria
Description: bacterial SSU rRNA
Rfam family: Bacterial small subunit ribosomal RNA
Source: RNAcentral
AAUAGAUACCCCGGUAGUCCAUGCCGUAAACGAUGUCUACUAGCCGUUGGGGCCUUUGAGGCUUUAGUGGCGCAGCUAACGCGAUAAGUAGACCGCCUGGGGGAGUACGGUCGCAAGACUAAAACUCAAAUGAAUUGACGGGGGGCCCGCACAAGCGGUGGAGCAUGUGGUUUAAUUCGAUGCAACGCGAAGAACCUUACCUGGUCUUGACAUAGUAAGAACUUUCCAGAGAUGGAUUGGUGCCUUCGGGAACUUACAUACAGGUGCUGCAUGGCUGUCGUCAGCUCGUGUCGUGAGAUGUUGGGUUAAGUCCCGCAACGAGCGCAACCCUUUUCCUUAUUUGCCAGCGGGUUAAGCCGGGAACUUUAAGGAUACUGCCGGUGACAAACUGGAGGAAGGCGGGGACGACGUCAAGUCAUCAUGGCCCUUACGACCAGGGCUACGACACGUGCUACAAUGGUCGGUACAAAGGGGUUGCUACCGACGCGAGUGGAUGCUAAUCUCAAAAGCCGAUCGUAGUCCGGAUUGGAGUCUGCAACGUCGACUCCAU